This 677-nucleotide long non-coding RNA is filed under the name Cyanistes caeruleus (blue tit). Its description in RNAcentral is "lncRNA (ENSCCEG00000000207.1)". Lineage: Eukaryota; Metazoa; Chordata; Aves; Passeriformes; Paridae. The record is from RNAcentral.
UGAGGGAAUUGCUGAGGGAAUAACAGGUUGAGGAGUUGUAUAAACACUGUAAUUGCUAAUGGGAAAACAGCACAGCACAGCUCAGUAUCCAUUCAACCCAUGGUGUGAGAAGGGGUAAAACUACUCCAGGUUGACUCCAGCCUCUUCCACACAUUUCUCAUAUGCCCUGUUUUAAUUCUCCUUGCUAUCUAGGAAAUGGGGACCGGUAAUAACUAGCCACAGUACCUGGGGCUUUCUGUCGCUGAUAGAUCUGCACACAGAAACUGCGCUUGCAAUUGUGUCAACAUCUGUCUCAAAAGGAGCUGAGAGGCUGAGGAUGAAAUGCUUGUGUUGUUUAUCUGCAUCUCACUUAAGCUGAAAGUAUAUUGAAGUGCCCAGUGCUGGUGAAUUUGCACAUCAACCAGUGAAAUCCAUGUGAGUAGAAAAUGUGCAUUUUCUCAGUCUGGAUAUUGGCAGAGGGAUCAUCUAUCACCUGCCUUUCCUGGCUAGCAUGGGCCCGCAUUUGUGUUUGGAAUCUGUCAUCAGGUUUUGUGCUGAGUUAGUGUUGUUAACUUCAGUGAAAAUGUAGCUCCUAAAAGAUCUAGAAAUCACAGCUUCUGCUUUGGAAGGGCACCACGGGCCUCCUUGUGGAUGAGUAAUACAAAGUCCUGGAAGCAGGAUUGUUAUUCAAAUGCCAU